AGUAAAUGGACAGCCUGUAGUGCGGCAGUACGGGAUGUUGACUGCCGACGAAAGAUGUUUUUCAUCUGCGGUGUGACAUUGCAUCCGCUGC
Molecule: non-coding RNA, 91 nt
Filed under: bovine gut metagenome
Description: THF riboswitch
Rfam family: THF (Tetrahydrofolate) riboswitch aptamer
About the family: THF riboswitch presents a pseudoknot that joins P1-P2 and the loop of P3 and two THF binding.
Source: RNAcentral